AUUGACCAGAAAGCUGAAGUGAUUUCAUGCAGGUUUUCUAAAUUAAUGUGACUGAAUUAGGACUCAAAAGUCAGGCUUUCUUAAUUGAAAUUGCAACGCCGCUCAAUCGCUUAUAGAAGUGGACCAAAUGAUGUAAAAGUUCAAGUAGAAGACCAUAAAUGAAGAGAAGGACG
This 173-nucleotide long non-coding RNA is filed under the name Fukomys damarensis (Damara mole-rat). Its description in RNAcentral is "lncRNA (ENSFDAG00000022218.1)". The record is from RNAcentral. Lineage: Eukaryota; Metazoa; Chordata; Mammalia; Rodentia; Bathyergidae.